UCGAAUGUCACAUCUUUACUAUAUAAUAGGAGUUCUGUACAAAAUAAAUAAUUACAUUAUAAGGAGACAACGGUCCAGCAAACCAAAGUUGACUGGGAGACGACGACCUAGACCUCUCACGAACACAUCACAGCAUCCUCCACGCGCCUCAUCCUGUGGUACCUGUUCUUGACCUGUGGGGGGUGUGAGACAGCAAGAGUGAGCUCACAUACGUUCAUCGUUCAACAAGUUGUGGGGAAUAAUGUGCAUGAACUCGCCAAAGGUGGGAGCUCACGUGAAGUGUAAGGCUUACCAAAGAGGAUGGUUAGAGCUGAGCAUUGCUUUUAAAGUUGGUCAAAAUUUUAGUAGCAAUUACUAAGUAUAAGUAAAUACCAACCCAAUUAAGUAGUAGAACAAAAGUAACAUCAUCACCUGCGAUGCAAUGCAUAUGACAAAUUGAAUUUAGUUCCAUAAUUUAAUCAUCAGAGAGUCCUGAGCUGCUCAUGACCGUGAGCUCGGCUAGUAUACCAGUUUUACACUCUGCAGAGGUGGUACCCUUUACCCACAAGUCAUGUUACCCAUCUGCCAAGGGAUCGCGACUUCCCAUACACCUCUACCGAGGAGGCGAGGCAGGGUAACACUAUGAGGCCUUUACAAAGUUCCACUAGCUUCAGAAAACCCGCUACAGUUUAUAGGAAGCUCCAAUGCAGGAAUCCCUUGCAGGACCGCCAUCGCAGCAAAAUCCUCCCGAGGGCCUCCCUACACUGACCACUCCCCUACUGCCCUUGCCCCUUUCGGGUAAGGUAGUCCUCCACUAGCUUUCCUAAUUAAUCAGCCAAGGGCGUCCAUAAACCCUUGUGGCGGCACGUGUUUCUCAAGUUAAGCUCUAUGUUCCAAUUAACAUUUAAUGAUCUUGUCAUGAACAUAAAUAACAACAUAAUUGGAACAUAGAUAUAAUGAAGUAUUAACCCAAAACCAUAUAAAGCAGUAGCAGAACUACCCAAGUGAUUCAGGGGUAAACAAGGUAUUCAGGAUAAACAAACUAGGGUGACCUAUUGGGUCCCAUCAAAAUUAAACCUAUGCAUUGAAUAGUGAUAAUAACGAAUAUUAUUGGGUAACAGAAGUGAUCAAGGGCACAACUUGCCUGGCAAUUAAGAUUCCAGGUACCAACUUGCUUUUCAGAUGACACGUGUCCCCGCGCUAGUCGUAGCAAUACAAACAAACAUGGUAUAGAUAAAAUUAACAUCAUACCAAACAUAAGAACAAACUGAAUAAUAAUAAUCUACACGUCGCUAUGAGAUCGCGGGAUCGAGAACUACUAGGAUCGGAGUUAUGGUUAUAGAGUUAUGAUUUCUCAUGUGAUUAAAUAUUAAAUUAUAGUAUAAAUUGAUUAGUGUACACCAUAUUGAGAGAAUAUUUUAUAAGUAAUUAACUAAACUUUAAUCUAGAUUAUAACUUGAUUAGGAAUCUGAAAGGGAAUUAGGCUUAUACCUAGUUCCUAAAUAAUUUUGGUGGUUGAAUUGCCCAACACAAAUCUUUGGACUAACUAGUUUGCCCAAGUGUAUAGAAUAUACAGGUGUAAGAGGUUCACACUCAGCCAAUAAAAAGACCAAGCUUUGGAUUCAACAAAGGAGCAACGAGGCAACCAAAGGCACCUCUGGCUGAAGGCACCGGACUGUCCGGUGUGCACCGGACAGUGUCCGGUGCGCCCUGAGGACUCCAACUCAAACUCUUCGCCCUCGGUAAUUCUCGGAAGCCGGCGCGCUAUAAUUCACCGGACUGUCCGGUGUGCACCGGACAUGUCCGGUGCUCCAAGGAAGCGCGGUCUCCGGAACUCGUCAGCCUCGGGUUCGCGCGGCAGCCGCUCCGCUAAAAUUCACCGGACUGUCCGGUGUGCCAGCGGAGCAACGGCUCCCUGCGGUGCAUUUAAUGCACGCGCAGCGCGCACAGACGUCAGACAUGCCCAUACCGGUGCACCGGACAUCAAACAGUACAUGUCCGGUGUGCACCGGACACCCAGGCGGGCCCACAAGUCAGAAGCUCCAACGGUCAGAAUCCAACGGCAGUGGUGACGUGGCAGGGGGCACCGGACUGUCCGGUGUGCACCGGACUGUCCGGUGUGCACCGGACUGUCCGGUGCGCCAUCGAACAGACAGGAUUCCCAACGGCCACAUUUGGUGGUUGGGGCUAUAAAUACCCCAACCACCCCACCAUUCAUUGCAUCCAAGUUUUCCCACUUCUCAACCACUUACAAGAGCUAGGCAUUCAAUUCUAGACACAUUCAAAGAGAUCAAAUCCUCUCCAAUUCCACACAAAACCCUAGUGACUAGUGAGAGUGAUUUGCCGUGUUCAUUUGAGCUCUUGCGCUUGGAUUGCUUCUUUUCUUUCUCACUUGUUCUUGAGAUCACAACUCCAUUGUAAUCAAGGCAAGAGGCACCAAUUGUGUGGUGGCCCUUGCGGGGAAGUUUUGUUCCCGGCUUUGAUUUGAGAAGAGAAGCUCAUUCGGUCCAAGGGACCGUUUGAGAGAGGGAAGGGUUGAAAGAGACCCGGCCUUUGUGGCCUCCUCAACGGGGAGUAGGUUUGCAAGAACCGAACCUCGGUAAAACAAAUCUCCGUGUCUCACUCGCUUAUUCGCUUAGGAUUUGUUUUGCACCCUCUCUCUCGGACUCGUUUAUAUUUCUAACGCUAACCCGGCUUGUAGUUGUGUUUAUAUUUGUAAAUUUCAGUUUCGCCCUAUUCACCCCCCCCCCCUCUAGGCGACUAUCAAUUGGUAUCAGAGCCCGGUGCUUCAUUAGAGCCUAACCGCUCGAAGUGAUGUCAGGAGAUCACGCCAAGAAGGAGAUGGAGACCGGCGAAAAGCCCACUACAAGCCAAGGGAGCACUUCAUCGGAAGAGUCCCACACCAAGAGGAAGGAGAAGAAGAAGGACUCCUCCAAACGGAAGGAGAAAAAGUCUUCCUCUUCUCACCACAAAGAGAAGAAGGAAAAAUCUUCCUCUCACAAGCCGCAUCGGAGAGGGGACAAGCACAAAAGAAUGAGGAAGGUGGUCUACUACGAGACCGACACUUCAUCAACAUCAACCUCCGACUCCGACGCGCCCUCCGUCACUUCUAAGCGCCAAGAGCGCAAGAAGUAUAGUAAGAUUCCCCUACGCUACCCUCGCAAUUCCAAACAUACUCCUUUACUUUCCGUCCCAUUAGGCAAACCACCAACUUUUGAUGGUGAAGAUUACGCUAGGUGGAGCGAUUUAAUGCGAUUUCAUCUAAUCUCGCUCCACAAAAGUAUAUGGGAUGUUGUUGAGUUUGGUGCAUAGGUACCGUCGGUAGGGGAUGAGAACUAUGAUGAGGAUGAGGUGGCCCAAAUCGAGCACUUCAACUCACAAGCAACGACAAUACUCCUCGCCUCUCUAAGUAGAGAGGAGUAUAACAAAGUACAAGGGUUGAAGAGCGCUAAGGAGAUUUGGGAUGUGCUCAAAACCGCGCACGAAGGAGAUGAGCUCACCAAGAUCACCAAGCGGGAAACGAUCGAGGGGGAGCUCGGUCGGUUCCGGCUUCGCAAAGGGGAGGAGCCACAACACAUGUACAACCGGCUCAAGACUUUGGUGAACCAAGUGCGCAACCUCGGGAGCAAGAAGUGGGAUGACCACGAAGUGGUAAAUGUUAUUUUAAGAUCUCUCAUUUUUCUUAAUCCUACUCAAGUUCAAUUAAUUCGUGGUAAUCCUAGAUAUACUAAAAUGACCCCCGAGGAAGUUAUCGGGCAUUUUGUAAGUUUUGAGUGCAUGAUAGAAGGCUCGAGGAAAAUCAACGAGCUUGGCGACUCAUCCGAAGCCCAACCCGUUGCAUUCAAGGCAACGGAGGAGAAGAAGGAGGAGUCUACACCAAGUCGACAACCAAUAGACGCCUCCAAGCUUGACAAUGAGGAGAUGGCGCUCGUCAUCAAGAGCUUCCGCCAAAUCCUCAAACAAAGGAGGGGGAAAGACUACAAGUCCCGCUCCAAGAAGGUUUGCUACAAAUGUGGUAAGCCCGGUCAUUUUAUUGCUAAAUGUCCUAUAUCUAGUGACAGUGAUCGAGGCGACGACAAGAAGGGGAGAAGAAAGGAGAAGAAAAGGUACUACAAGAAGAAGGGCGGCGAUGCCCAUGUUUGUCGGGAAUGGGAUUCCGACGAGAGCUCAAGCGACUCCUCCGACGACGAGGACGCCGCCAACAUCGCCGUCACCAAGGGACUUCUCUUCCCCAACGUCGGCCACAAGUGCCUCAUGGCAAAGGACGGUAAAAAGAAGAAGGUUAAAUCCAACUCCUCCACUAAAUAUGAAUCGUCUAGUGAUGAUAAUGCUAGUGAUGAGGAGGAUAAUUUGCGUAUUCUCUUUGCCAAUCUUAACAUGGAGCAAAAAGAAAAACUAAAUGAAUUGAUUAGUGCUAUUCAUGAAAAGGAUGACCUUUUGGACUCCCAAGAGGAUUGUCUAAUUAAAGAAAACAAGAAACAUGUUAAGGUUAAAAAGGCUUAUGCUCUAGAAGUAGAAAAAUGUGAAAAAUUGUCUAGUGAGCUAAGCACAUGCCGUGAGAUUAUUGACAACCUUAGGAAUGAAAAUGCUAGUUUAAAUGCUAAGGUUGAUUCUCAUGUUUGUAAUGUUUCAAUUCCCAAUCUUAGAGAUGAUAAUGUUGAUUUGCUUGCUAAGAUUGAUGAUUUGAAUAUAUCUCUUGCUAGCCUUAGAGUAGAAAAUGAAAAAUUGAUUACUAAGGCUAAAGAACUAGACGUUUGCAAUGUUACAAUUUCCGACCUUAGAACUAAAAAUGAUAUGUUGCAUGCUAAGGUUGUAGAAUUAAAAUCUUGCAAACCCUCUACAUCUAUUGUUGAGCAUGUAUCUAUUUGUACUAGAUGUAGAGAUAUUGAUGUUAAUGCUAUUCAUGAUCACAUGAUCUUAAUUAAGCAACAAAAUGAUCAUAUAGCUAAACUUGAUGCUAUAAUUGCCGAGCACAACUUAGAAAAUGAGAAAUUUAAAUUUGCUCGUAGCAUGCUCUAUAAUGGGAGACGCCCUGGCAUCAAGGAUGGCAUUGGCUUCCAAAGGGGAGACAAUGUCAAACUUAAUGCUCCUCCUAAGAACUUGUCUAACUUUGUUAAGGGCAAGGCUCCCAUGCCUCAGGAUAACGAGGGCUACAUUUUGUACCCUGCCGGCUAUCCUGAGAGCAAAAUUAGGAGAAUUCAUUCUAGGAAGUCUCACUCUGGCCCUAAUCAUGCUUUUAUGUAUAAGGGUGAGACAUCUAGCUCUAGGCAACCAACCCGUGCCAAGUUGCCUAGAAAGAAAACUCCUAAUGCAUCAAAUGAUCAUGCCAUUUCAUUUAAAACUUUUGAUGCUUCUUAUGUGCUUACUAACAAAUCCGGCAAAGUGGUUGCCAAGUUUGUUGGGGGCAAACACAAGGGUUCCAAGACUUGUGUUUGGGUACCCAAAGUUCUUGUGUCUAAUGCCAAAGGACCCAAAACCGUUUGGGUACCUAAAGUCAAGAACUAAAAUUGUUUUGUAGGUUUAUGCAUCCGGGGGCUCAAGUUGGAUACUCGACAGCGGGUGCACAAACCAUAUGACCGGGGAGAAAAGGAUGUUCUCCUCAUAUGAGAAAAACCAAGAUCCCCAACGAGCUAUCACAUUCGGGGAUGGAAAUCAAGGUUUGGUCAAAGGACUUGGUAAAAUUGCUAUAUCUCCUGACCAUUCUAUUUCCAAUGUUUUUCUUGUUGAUUCUUUAGAUUACAACUUGCUUUCUGUUUCCCAAUUAUGUCAAAUGGGCUACAACUGUCUUUUUACUGAUGUAGGUGUCACUGUCUUUAGAAGAAGUGAUGAUUAAAUAGCAUUUAAGGGUGUGUUAGAGGGUCAGCUAUACUUAGUAGAUUUUGAUAGAGCUGAACUUGACACAUGCUUAAUUGCUAAGACUAACAUGGGUUGGCUCUGGCACCGCCGACUAGCCCAUGUUGGGAUGAAGAAUCUUCAUAAGCUUCUAAAGGGAGAGCACAUUUUAGGAUUAACAAAUGUUCAUUUUGAGAAAGACAGGAUUUGUAGCGCAUGUCAGGCAGGGAAGCAAGUUGGAGUCCAUCAUCCACACAAGAACAUCAUGACGACCGACAGGCCGCUUGAGCUACUCCACAUGGAUCUAUUCGGCCCGAUUGCUUACAUAAGCAUCGGCGGGAGUAAGUAUUGUCUUGUUAUUGUGGAUGAUUAUUCUCGCUUCACUUGGGUAUUCUUUUUACAGGAAAAAUCUCAAACCCAAGAGACCUUAAAGGGAUUCUUGAGACGGGCUCAAAAUGAGUUCGGCUUAAGGAUCAAGAAAAUAAGAAGCGACAACGGAACGGAGUUCAAGAACUCUCAAAUCGAAGGCUUCCUUGAGGAGGAGGGCAUCAAGCAUGAGUUCUCUUCUCCCUACACGCCACAACAAAAUGGUGUAGUGGAGAGGAAGAAUAGAACUCUAUUGGACAUGGCAAGGACCAUGCUUGAUGAGUAUAAGACUUCGGAUCGGUUUUGGGCCGAGGCAGUCAACACCGCUUGCUACGCCAUCAACCGGUUAUAUCUACACCGAAUCCUCAAGAAGACAUCAUAUGAACUCCUAACCGGUAAAAAGCCCAACAUUUCAUAUUUUAGAGUUUUUGGUAGCAAAUGCUUUAUUCUUGUCAAAAGAGGUAGAAAAUCUAAAUUUGCUCCUAAAACUGUAGAAGGCUUUUUACUUGGUUAUGACUCAAACACAAGGGCAUAUAGGGUCUUUAACAAGUCCACUGGACUAGUUGAAGUCUCAUGUGACGUUGUGUUUGAUGAAACUAACGGCUCUCAAGUAGAGCAAGUUGAUCUUGAUGAGAUAGGUGAAGAACAGGCUCCGUGCAUCGUGCUAAGGAACAUGUCCAUUGGGGAUGUAUGUCCUAAGGAAUCCGAAGAGCCUCCAAAAGCACAAGAUCAACCAUCCUCCUCCAUACAAGCAUCUCCACCAACACAAAAUGAGGAUGAAGCUCAAGUUGAUGAAGAAGAAGAUCAAUCAAAUGAGCCACCUCAAGAUGACGGCAACGAUCAAGGGGGAGAUGCAAAUGAUCAAGAUAAGGAGGAUGAAGAGCAAAGACCGCCACACCCAAGAGUCCACCAAGCAAUCCAACGAGAUCACCCCGUCGACACCAUCCUCGGCGACAUUCAUAAGGGGGUAACCACUCGAUCUCGUGUUGCACAUUUUUGUGAACAUUACUCUUUUGUUUCCUCUAUUGAGCCACACAGGAUAGAGGAAGCACUUCAAGAUUCGGAUUGGGUGGUGGCAAUGCAAGAGGAGCUUAACAAUUUCACGAGGAAUGAGGUAUGGCAUUUAGUUCCACGUCCUAACCAAAAUGUUGUAGGAACCAAAUGGGUCUUCCGCAACAAGCAAGAUGAGCAUGGUGUGGUGACAAGGAACAAAGCUCGACUCGUGGCCAAAGGGUAUUCACAAGUCGAAGGUUUGGAUUUCGGUGAAACCUAUGCACCCGUAGCUAGGCUUGAGUCAAUUCGCAUAUUAUUGGCCUAUGCUACUUACCAUGGCUUUAAGCUUUAUCAAAUGGACGUGAAAAGUGCCUUCCUCAAUGGACCGAUCAAGGAAGAGGUCUAUGUUGAGCAACCUCCCGGCUUUGAAGACAGUGAGUAUCCUAAUCAUGUCUAUAGGCUCUCUAAGGCGCUUUAUGGGCUCAAGCAAGCCCCAAGAGCAUGGUAUGAAUGCCUAAGAGAUUUCCUUAUUUCUAAUGGCUUCAAAGUCGGCAAGGCCGAUCCUACACUCUUUACUAAAACUCUUGAAAAUGACUUGUUUGUAUGCCAAAUUUAUGUUGAUGAUAUUAUAUUUGGGUCUACUAACGAGUCUACAUGUGAAGAGUUUAGUAGGAUCAUGACACAGAAAUUCGAGAUGUCGAUGAUGGGGGAGUUGAAGUAUUUUCUAGGAUUCCAAGUCAAGCAACUCCAAGAGGGCACCUUCAUUUGCCAAACGAAGUACACUCGAGACAUUCUAACCAAGUUUGGAAUGAAGGAUGCCAAGCCCAUCAAGACACCCAUGGGAACCAAUGGGCAUCUCGACCUCGACACGGGAGGUAAAUCCGUGGAUCAAAAGGUAUACCGGUCGAUGAUAGGUUCUUUACUCUACUUAUGUGCAUCUCGACCGGAUAUUAUGCUUUCCGUAUGCAUGUGUGCAAGAUUCCAAGCCGACCCUAAGGAAGCUCACCUUACGGCCGUAAAACGAAUCUUGAGAUAUUUGGCUUAUACUCCUAAGUUUGGGCUUUGGUAUCCUAGGGGAUCCACAUUUGAUUUGAUUGGUUACUCGGAUGCCGAUUGGGCGGGGUGUAAAAUUAAUAGGAAGAGCACAUCGGGGACUUGCCAGUUCUUGGGAAGAUCCUUGGUGUCUUGGGCUUCAAAGAAGCAAAAUUCGGUCGCUCUUUCCACCGCCGAAGCCGAGUACAUUGCCGCAGGCCAUUGUUGCGCGCAAUUGCUUUGGAUGAGGCAAACCCUGCGGGACUACGGUUACAAAUUAACCAAAGUCCCUUUGCUAUGUGAUAAUGAGAGUGCAAUCAAAAUGGCCGACAAUCCCGUCGAGCAUAGCCGCACUAAACACAUAGCCAUCCGGUAUCAUUUUCUUAGGGAUCACCAACAAAAGGGAGAUAUCGAGAUUUCUUACAUUAACACUAAAGAUCAAUUAGCCGAUAUCUUUACCAAGCCUCUUGAUGAACAAUCUUUUAACAAACUUAGGCAUGAGCUCAAUAUUCUUGAUUCUAGGAACUUCUUUUGUUAAAGUUGCACACAUUGCUCUUUUAUAUAUCUUUGAUCAUGUCUCUUUUAUAUGCUAUGACUAAUGUGUUGUCAAGUCUAUUUCAAAUCAAGUCAUAGGUAUAUUGAAAGGGAAUUGGAGUCUUCGGCGAAGACAAAAAGGCUUCCACUCCGUAACUCAUCCAUCGCCGUCUCUCCAAGCUAUUCUCCAUUCUAGGGGGAGAAAACAUGAGCACCAAGCAAAAGGAACUUCAUCUUUGGUAUAAUCUAAACUCAUUUAUUUAUGACCAAAGGGGAAGAUAGCCUUAAAGGGCUCUAAUGAUUCCGUUUUUGGCGAUUCAUGCCAAAAAGGGGGAGGAAUGAGCCCAAAGCAAAAGGACCGCACCACCACUACCAAAUUCAAAACUUAGUGUUUUUCAAAAGUAUUUAUCAAUUGAUAUCCUAUCAUGAGGGGAGAAAGUAGUAUUUCAAAAUGAUACAUCAAAACCCUCUUGAACACUAAGAGGAGGAUCUCGUUUAGGGGGAGUUUUGUUUAGUCAAAGGAGAAGCAGGGGGAGAAAAUUUCAAAUCUUGAAAAUGCUUUGCAAAAUCUUAUUUAUUCAUCUUUGACUACCUGCAAAAGAACUUUGAAAAGGAUUUACAAAAGAGUUUGCAAAAACAAAACUCGUGGUGCAAGCGUGGUCCAAAAUGUUAUAUAAGAAAGGAACAUUCCAUGCAUAUCUCGUAAGUAGUUUUAUUGGCUAAAUUCCAAGCAACCUUUACACUUAUAUCAUGCAAACUAGUUCAAUUAUGCACUUCUAUAUUUGCUUUGGUUUGUGUUGGCAUCAAUCACCAAAAAGGGGGAGAUUGAAAGGGAAUUAGGCUUAUACCUAGUUCCUAAAUAAUUUUGGUGGUUGAAUUGCCCAACACAAAUCUUUGGACUAACUAGUUUGCCCAAGUGUAUAGAAUAUACAGGUGUAAGAGGUUCACACUCAGCCAAUAAAAAGACCAAGCUUUGGAUUCAACAAAGGAGCAACGAGGCAACCAAAGGCACCUCUGGCUGAAGGCACCGGACUGUCCGGUGUGCACCGGACAGUGUCCGGUGCGCCCUGAGGACUCCAACUCAAACUCUUCGCCCUCGGUAAUUCUCGGAAGCCGGCGCGCUAUAAUUCACCGGACUGUCCGGUGUGCACCGGACAUGUCCGGUGCUCCAAGGAAGCGCGGUCUCCGGAACUCGUCAGCCUCGGGUUCGCGCGGCAGCCGCUCCGCUAAAAUUCAUCGGACUGUCCGGUGUGCACCGGACUGUCCGGUGUGCCAGCGGAGCAACGGCUCCCUGCGGCGCCAACGGCUCCCUGCGGUGCAUUUAAUGCGCGCGCAGCGCGCACAGACGUCAGACAUGCCCAUACCGGUGCACCGGACAUCAAACAGUACAUGUCCGGUGUGCACCGGACACCCAGGCGGGCCCACAAGUCAGAAGCUCCAACGGUCAGAAUCCAACGGCAGUGGUGACGUGGCAGGGGGCACCGGACUGUCCGGUGUGCACCGGACUGUCCGGUGCGCCAUCGAACAGACAGGAUUCCCAACGGCCACAUUUGGUGGUUGGGGCUAUAAAUACCCCAACCACCCCACCAUUCAUUGCAUCCAAGUUUUCCCACUUCUCAACCACUUACAAGAGCUAGGCAUUCAAUUCUAGACACAUUCAAAGAGAUCAAAUCCUCUCCAAUUCCACACAAAACCCUAGUGACUAGUGAGAGUGAUUUGCCGUGUUCAUUUGAGCUCUUGUGCUUGGAUUGCUUCUUUUCUUUCUCACUUGUUCUUGAGAUCACAACUCCAUUGUAAUCAAGGCAAGAGGCACCAAUUGUGUGGUGGCCCUUGCGGGGAAGUUUUGUUCCCGGCUUUGAUUUGAGAAGAGAAGCUCAUUCGGUCCAAGGGACCGUUUGAGAGAGGGAAGGGUUGAAAGAGACCCGGCCUUUGUGGCCUCCUCAACGGGGAGUAGGUUUGCAAGAACCGAACCUCGGUAAAACAAAUCUCCGUGUCUCACUCGCUUAUUCGCUUAGGAUUUGUUUUGCACCCUCUCUCUCGGACUCGUUUAUAUUUCUAACGCUAACCCGGCUUGUAGUUGUGUUUAUAUUUGUAAAUUUCAGUUUCGCCCUAUUCACCCCCCCCCCUCUAGGCGACUAUCAGAAUCAUAUUAUAGUUGAAUCACUAUCAUGGUCUAGUUUAAUUUUGGUUAAAAGGCAAAUAGGCUAAACAAAUAUUUAAUUAUAAAAAUAUGUUCUAUGGUAAAAUUAAUAUUGCCGCUGGGUAUACAAUAUUUUUAUGAAGCUAACUCAAUUUGAAUGAAUCAAAUCGGAGUUAAAAUGAAUAAGUUAUGGAAUAAACAAGGUUCUAUGUAUUUUUAAUACUUAUUUUAUGAAUUUCUGGGAUUUAUGGAUUGCGGAUGCGAAUACCAGAGAGCUCGGGGUUAUUUCUAUAAAUUCUAGGACCCAACCGUAAUUACUUUAUACUAGGAUAGGACGACGGGUUAUUUACGUGUAAGACGAGGGGUUCUUUAGUAAAACGGUCGCCGCGAAGGGGUAUCUACCUACUAGAGCCGUCAGAUCACAUCUGAACGACCAGGAUUACAUCUUGCUACAUUAGAAUCGGCGUGGAUCCCGAACCGUCCAUUCCCGAUCCCCCGCCUCGGAUUUAAUGAGGCCACGACCCGACUCUGAUCAUCGAUUUAUAAACGGACGGCCACGAUCUACUUAACCGAAAAGGUAUCUACGUUUUUAAUCCCAGCCGUCCGCACAGAUCUAACGGUCAGAGGCUUUCCCCCGUAUUCCCUAACGCGGAGCACGGCGGCGCCCGGAGCCGUAACGGCGGCGGCAUCGCCGGACUCGGCCACGCGUGAUUCCGGCCACAAGGGCUUAAUCCAAACGUAUCUACACGUUGCGGGGGCAAAACUGAAGUCGAUUAGGGUGUUCAUACUCACUAUAGUCGUGUCGGUGUUGCUGCCCACGACGCCCGGCGGCCCCGCCGUAGAUCCGCGAUUCUGGUGAGCAAUCGCCGGCCACGAGAGCUUUCUUUUCCCCCGAGAAAGUGGCUGACGGCUCCCCGUAGACACGACGAAGCGAUUCAGGGGUCGUACCGGCGUUUGGGGAGAUAGCAGAGGUCAACGACGGCGCACGCAGGGGCGGGCAUAGCGGUGACCCAUUGCUCCACCGGCCAGAUGACUCCGCGGCAAAACGACGACGCUGAUGAUUUUGUGGUAUGGUGGCUCUCUCUCUGGUCGGCAAUGGCGGUGCUCGUACCUGUUGGUCAUCC
Molecule: long non-coding RNA, 12000 nt
Filed under: Zea mays
Lineage: Eukaryota; Viridiplantae; Streptophyta; Magnoliopsida; Poales; Poaceae
Description: long non-coding RNA (ZMAY_LNC002242)
Source: RNAcentral